RNAcentral lists this ribosomal RNA (460 nucleotides) under uncultured bacterium. Its description in RNAcentral is "partial 16S ribosomal RNA". It matches the Rfam family "Bacterial small subunit ribosomal RNA", at positions 338 to 795 of the family's 1533-position model. The record is from RNAcentral.
CCUACGGGGAGCAGCAGUGAGGAAUAUUGGUCAAUGGACGCAAGUCUGAACCAGCCAUGCCGCGUGCAGGAAGACGGCUCUAUGAGUUGUAAACUGCUUUUGUACGAGGGUAAACGCAGAUACGCGUAUCUGUCUGAAAGUAUCGUACGAAUAAGGAUCGGCUAACUCCGUGCCAGCCGCCGCGGUAAUACGGAGGAUUCAAGCGUUAUCCGGAUUUAUUGGGUUUAAAGGGUGCGUAGGCGGUCGGAUAAGUUAGAGGUGAAAUCCCGAGGCUCAACUUCGGAAUUGCCUCUGAUACUGGUCGGCUAGAGAGUAGUUGCGGUAGGCGGAAUGUAUGGUGUAGCGGUGAAAUGCUUAGAGAUCAUACAGAACACCGAUUGCGAAGGCAGCUUACCAAGCUACUUCUGACGUUGAGGCACGAAAGCGUGGGGAGCAAACAGGAUUAGAUACCCCAGUAGUC